UACGGGGGGGGCAAGCGUUGUUCGGAAUUACUGGGCGUAAAGGGCUCGUAGGCGGCCAACUAAGUCAGACGUGAAAUCCCCGGCUUAACCUGGGAACUGCGUCUGAUACUGGAAGGCUUGAGGAUGGGAGAGGGAUGUAGAAUUCCAGGUGUAGCGGUGAAAUGCGUAGAUAUCUGGAGGAAUACCGGUGGCGAAGGCGGCAUCCUGGACCAUUACUGACGCUGAGGCGCGAAAGCUAGGGGAGCAAACGGG
RNAcentral lists this ribosomal RNA (252 nucleotides) under uncultured bacterium. RNAcentral describes it as "partial 16S ribosomal RNA". It matches the Rfam family "Bacterial small subunit ribosomal RNA", at positions 524 to 776 of the family's 1533-position model. The record is from RNAcentral.